GACGAACGCUGGCGGCGUGCUUAACACAUGCAAGUCGAACGGAAAGGCCCUGCUUUUGUGGGGUUCUCGAUUGGCGAACGGGUGAGUAACACGUGAGUAUCCUGCCCUUGACUUUGGGAUAACUUCAGGAAACUGGGGCUAAUACCGGAUAGGAUCUCCUGCAGCAUGGUGGGGGUUGGAAAGUUUCGGCGGUUGGGGAUGGACUGGCGGCUUAUCAGCUUGUUGGUGGGGUAGUGGCUUACCAAGGCUUUGACGGGUAGCCGGCCUGGGAGGGUGAACGGCGACCUGGGGACUACGGGAGGCAGCAGUCUGCAACGUGAGGCAAUGGUGGGAAGUAUUACGCAGCGAGCGCGCGCCUGAUACGACGGCGCCGGGUGCGGGAAGACGUCUUUUGGGUUAAAAACCGCUGUCGACUGAGACGAAGCGGGAGUGACGGUAACGGAUAAAGAAGCACCGGCUAACUACGUG
Molecule: ribosomal RNA, 468 nt
Filed under: uncultured bacterium
Lineage: Bacteria
Description: partial 16S ribosomal RNA
Rfam family: Bacterial small subunit ribosomal RNA
Source: RNAcentral